Long non-coding RNA from Anas platyrhynchos (mallard), 1663 nucleotides. RefSeq lists it as uncharacterized. The record is from RefSeq and is a predicted model, not a curated record. NCBI's taxonomy places the organism in Eukaryota, Metazoa, Chordata, Aves, Anseriformes, Anatidae.
CAGGUUUAUUUAGGAAAAUUCUUGCUAUUAUUAUUUAUUUAUUUUUUCUGCAUCUGUUAUUUUAUUUAAUGUAUGUGGCCAAAAUCUAGAGCUUCUCCACCCUAAACAUCUCUGAUAUUGAGGAGCACCAGCUGAACUUUAAUGGUCAUUACUGCAGGCCACUUGGCCAACAAGCCUGGUGCGACUAGGGGCUGCAUGUAACAUGGCUCCCUUCUGAUGCAGAGGUAGUGGCAGGUUUUGCCGGAAGACUUGUGGUGCCAACAGUACUGGGGCCAGGGAAAGAUUUUGCAUUGAGUCAGGUGAAGCCUCACAGUCCUUACCAAGAUAAUUGAGGAUCAUAAUGGUGGGAAAGGACUGCAGUCAUCAUUCGCUUCCUGUCAGAAGCUGAUGGAAGCCGAUGAAGUUUGCUCGAGAUGGAUCAGCUCUCCCAUAGGCAGCAGGGUUUGACAGCACUGCUAGGUGCUGGUGCCACGGAUGUUUUCUUCUUUUUGCUACCUAUGUGAACAACACGCUGCGCUUGACUUCGUUUCUGCAGAGAUAGAUGAGGAUCGCUUUUACUCAUUACGCUCAAGGUUCAUUAUCAUGGACUUCUACAAUUUUAUGGAUGGAAAAAACAAAACAAAACAACCUCAGUACUGUAUGUUACUGUCCUCUGUAUAUUACAUAUAUAUAUAUAUUAUUAUUUUUUUUACCAUCUGGUGGAUUUGGUACAUAUUGAUCACGUGGCCUUUGCUGCAUGCCAUCACUGUUGGUGAGGUGGUUGGGUAAGAUCUAACGCCAUCCCUCAGCUCCGGGUCUGAGCCCUGCUCAUGCUGGCCAGUUGCAGCGUUUGUUGGUCUAUGUGACAACCAGCUGGGCUCAGGGGGACCCACGGUGAUGUUAGAAUUGCCACCCUCCCAAUUAGCUGCCAAUGGCCUCCCACUGGCAGAGGUAGCUCUGGCAGCGCUGCCGGUGCAGGUGAUGGGUCUGGUGUCCUCCUCAGAGCCUCCAUCCUUCUGCACCAGGAACCAAUACCAUGUAAAGAUAAAUGCAAGAAAAAACACAAAAGGAAUGUGGGUUCAAAAUGAAACAGUGGCAUGUGUCAGCUUUUAGCCCCAAGACAAUCUUCAUGUAUCUUUUGAUGAAUCUUUUUAAGUAAUGGUUAGAUGAUGAGGCCUUGGUUCAGAGGCAACUUACGCUCGUGAACCAUGUGACCAUGUGUGCAUUCCCACACGCGUCUGCGGGAUGACUUACAGGCUUUAUAUUAUGCAUAACCUUCAGUAAUUUGCUGAAUCAGGGCCUAAAUACUGAAAUAAUCUUUAAUCGUGCUGGCUUCACAAUGAAACUCUAGAAGCCACAUUUCCCUCUUAGUGUCUUUCCAUAAGACUCAUCAAUGAUAAUGGAGUUACAUUAGGCACAUCUAAAGUUAAUUAUACAGUUACGUCCCUCUUGGCCCCUGUUUGUCAAAGAGAAUAGGAUAAAAAUAUUCUGUUUUCUAACAUCUAUUUUUUAUUUUCAUUUGGAUUUUGGUCAGCAAAUGAGAUAACAGAGUAAAGGGCACACUAAGAAGACCAUGGGCCGGUGGGUCUGGAUAUUUGUCAGCUGUGAACGAGCUUGGGAAAUGUUGUGUUAAGAAAACCUGCAGAAAAAAAUAAUCUAUACAAGCCAAAGGAAAUGGAAUAUU